UGGGGAAUUUUGGACAAUGGGCGAAAGCCUGAUCCGGCAAUGCCGCGUGUGUGAAGAAGGCCUUCGGGUUGUAAAGCACUUUUGUCCGGAAAGAAAUCCUUGGCUCUAAUACAGUCGGGGGAUGACGGUACCGGAAGAAUAAGCACCGGCUAACUACGUGCCAGCAGCCGCGGUAAUACGUAGGGUGCAAGCGUUAAUCGGAAUUACUGGGCGUAAAGCGUGCGCAGGCGGUUUGCUAAGACCGAUGUGAAAUCCCCGGGCUCAACCUGGGAACUGCAUUGGUGACUGGGCAGGCUAGAGUAUGGCAGAGGGGGGUAGAAUUCCACGUGUAGCAGUGAAAUGCGUAGAGAUGUGGAGGAAUACCGAUGGCGAAGGCAGCCCCCUGGGCCAAUACUGACGCUCAUGCACGAAAGCGUGGGGAGCAAACAGGAUUAGAUACCCUGGUAGUCCACGCCCUAAACGAUGUCAACUAGUUGUUGGGGAUUCAUUUCCUUAGUAACGUAGCUAACGCGUGAAGUUGACCGCCUGGGGAGUACGUCGCAAGAUUAAAACUCAAAGGAAUUGACGGGGUCAUAGCUG
Molecule: ribosomal RNA, 579 nt
Filed under: uncultured bacterium
Lineage: Bacteria
Description: partial 16S ribosomal RNA
Rfam family: Bacterial small subunit ribosomal RNA
Source: RNAcentral